UACGGGGGGGGCAAGCGUUGUUCGGAAUUACUGGGCGUAAAGGGUUCGUAGGUGGCCGACUAAGUCAGACGUGAAAUCCCUCAGCUCAACUGGGGAACUGCGUCUGAGACUGGCCGGCUUGAGUGCAGGAGAGGAACGCGGAAUUCCAGGUGUAGCGGUGAAAUGCGUAGAUAUCUGGAGGAACACCGGUGGCGAAGGCGGCGUUCUGGACUGCUACUGACACUGAGGCACGAAAGCUAGGGGAGCGAACGGG
RNAcentral lists this ribosomal RNA (253 nucleotides) under uncultured bacterium. RNAcentral describes it as "partial 16S ribosomal RNA". It matches the Rfam family "Bacterial small subunit ribosomal RNA", at positions 524 to 776 of the family's 1533-position model. The record is from RNAcentral.